AUGAACGCUGGCGGCGUGCCUAAUACAUGCAAGCCGAGCGAACGGACGAGAAGCUUGCUUCUCUGAUGUUAGCGGCGGACGGGUGAGUAACACGUGGAUAACCUACCUAUAAGACUGGGAUAACUUCGGGAAACCGGAGCUAAUACCGGAUGAUAUUUUGAACCGCAUGGUUCAAAACUGAAAGACGGUCUUGCUGUCACUUAUAGAUGGAUCCGCGCUGCAUUAGCUAGUUGGUAAGGUAACGGCUUACCAAGGCAACGAUGCAUAGCCGACCUGAGAGGGUGAUCGGCCACACUGGAACUGAGACACGGUCCAGACUCCUACGGGAGGCAGCAGUAGGGAAUCUUCCGCAAUGGGCGAAAGCCUGACGGAGCAACGCCGCGUGAGUGAUGAAGGUCUUCGGAUCGUAAAACUCUGUUAUUAGGGAAGAACAUAUGUGUAAGUAACUGUGCACAUCUUGACGGUACCUAAUCAGAAAGCCACGGCUAACUACGUG
Molecule: ribosomal RNA, 496 nt
Filed under: uncultured bacterium
Lineage: Bacteria
Description: partial 16S ribosomal RNA
Rfam family: Bacterial small subunit ribosomal RNA
Source: RNAcentral